Molecule: long non-coding RNA, 532 nt
Filed under: Phoenix dactylifera (date palm)
Lineage: Eukaryota; Viridiplantae; Streptophyta; Magnoliopsida; Arecales; Arecaceae
Description: long non-coding RNA (PDAC_LNC005633)
Source: RNAcentral
CUAUACCAGCGCCGACAUCGUCGACUACACCUUCCCGGAUACGCCGCUCCGGGUGCGGCGUGCCGCCCAGGAGGUGAUUAAAGACAGCGACUACAUGGACAAGUACAAGGAGGCCGUGAGGAAAAUGAAGGAGCUGCCGGACGACCAUCCCUGGAACUUCUACCAGCAGGCUCUCAUUCACUGCGCAUACUGCAACGAGGCCUACGAUCAGGUGGGCUUCCCUACCGUCCCCGUCCAGGUCCACUACAGCUGGUUAUUCCUCCCCUGGCACCGCUACUACCUCCACUUCUACGAGCGCAUCCUUGGCAAGCUCAUCGACGACGACACCUUCACCCUCCCCUUCUGGAACUUCGACUCCGGCGACGGCAUGACGAUGCCGGAGAUCUUCACCGCCGACACGUCCUCACCUCUCUACAACGCCAACCGGGACACCUCCCACUACUCUCCGGCCAUCCUCGACUACAAGUACAGCUACGGCAACACGGCGGGCAGCGGGGAGACGGGGAGCGCUCUGGUGCUGACCAACCUGUGC